UACGAAGGGGGCUAGCGUUGCUCGGAAUCACUGGGCGUAAAGCGCACGUAGGCGGAUCUUUAAGUCAGGGGUGAAAUCCCAAGGCUCAACCUUGGAACUGCCUUUGAUACUGGGGAUCUCGAGUCCGGAAGAGGUUGGUGGAACUGCGAGUGUAGAGGUGAAAUUCGUAGAUAUUCGCAAGAACACCAGUGGCGAAGGCGAUCUUCUGGCUAUUACCUGACGCUAAGGCUCGAAAGCGUGGGGAGCAAACAGG
Molecule: ribosomal RNA, 253 nt
Filed under: uncultured bacterium
Lineage: Bacteria
Description: partial 16S ribosomal RNA
Rfam family: Bacterial small subunit ribosomal RNA
Source: RNAcentral